Molecule: ribosomal RNA, 253 nt
Filed under: uncultured bacterium
Lineage: Bacteria
Description: partial 16S ribosomal RNA
Rfam family: Bacterial small subunit ribosomal RNA
Source: RNAcentral
UACGGGGGGGGCAAGCGUUGUUCGGAAUUACUGGGCGUAAAGGGCUCGUAGGUGGCCAACUAAGUCAUACGUGAAAUCCCUCGGCUUAACCGGGGAACUGCGUCUGAUACUGGAUGGCUUGAGUUCGGGAGAGGGAUGCGGAAUUCCAGGUGUAGCGGUGAAAUGCGUAGAUAUCUGGAGGAACACCGGUGGCGAAGGCGGCAUCCUGGACCGAUACUGACGCUGAGGAGCGAAAGCCAGGGGAGCAAACAGG